This 1455-nucleotide ribosomal RNA is filed under the name Triticum aestivum (bread wheat). Its description in RNAcentral is "partial small subunit ribosomal RNA". Lineage: Eukaryota; Viridiplantae; Streptophyta; Magnoliopsida; Poales; Poaceae. The record is from RNAcentral.
AUGACGUUAGAACAGAAGUUUAAUUCCCACCUUGUUCCUGAGCAACAUAGUGUUCGACUAGUUACUAGUGAGUUUAAGGACUUUGCUAUUAUUUGGUGGAAUGGGCUAGCUGGACAGGGUGCUUUACCUGAUACAUGGGAACGACUUAAGGUAGCUAUGCGUGAUCGUUUUGUUCCUCCUUCGUAUCAUAGAGAUUUGCGUAACAAACUGCAGCGUUUAGAACAAGGAGAAAAAUUUGUACAAGUUUACUAUGCUGAGCUUCAAAAGGGUUUGAUGCGUUGUGGUAUAGUGGAGGGGCUUGAGGAUUCUAUUUGUCGUUUUUAUUCGGGUUUGAGGCGUGAUGUUCAGGACAUUGUUGAUUAUAAAGAAUUUCAUACUGUCAACCAGUUGUUCCAGUUUGCUAUGCUUGCAGAGAAGGAAUUGCAGGGACGUGAGCAGCGGAACAAGAGAAACGUCCAUGCCUCCUACACGCCACGCACGACGGCUCCUUCGAGGCUGCCUAAGCCAUCCUCUUUUCGGGUGCCCCUAACAGCGGACCAGCAAGCUUCUGCCUCAGCCAGUCGUGUUACUACAACGCCUACACAACCUUCUGCACGUCCUACCUAUUCAGGUAAAAAUUCUUUGCAGGUUCCCACCAAUAGUGCUUCGUCCGUCGCCUCGACGGGACGCACUUCCAGCAUUCAGUGCCAUCGCUGCCAAGGACGUGGCCAUAUGCAGAAGGAUUGCCCAAGUCAGCGGGCAUAUGUGGCAACCGAAGAUGGAGGUUAUAUCAGCACCUCCGAUGUGGAGGAUGAUGCUAAUGAUGAUGAUGCCACCACCGACGACGAUGAUGAGGGUCAUGUCCUUGGGGGCGCCGAUACUUCAGGCUACAUGAACAUUAUUGUUCAGCGUGUGCUCAACACACAAAUUCAGCAACCUGAGAAGCUACAAUGCCACAAUUUGUUUCAGAUUUUCUUCAUUAUCAAGAACCGACGAGCACGUGUUAUCAUUGAUGGAGGAAGCUGCAACAAUUUGGUGAGUUCUGAUCUGGUCAAGAAGCUUUGUUUGACCACACGACCACACCCACAUCCAUACCAUAUUCAGUGGUUAAAUGACUCUGGAAAAGCUAAGGUAACACAAACAUGUAGAGUUCCUUUUUCGAUUGGUGCCUAUGCUGAUUCUGUUGAUUGUGAUGUCGUACCUAUGCAAGCUUGUUUAUUUUUGUUGGGUCGGCCUUGGGAACAUGAUAAUGAUGCUACACACCAUGGAAGAAGUAAUAAAUACACUUUUGUGCAUAAAGGGCAGAAAAUUACUUUGGUACCUUUGACCCCUGCUGAAAUUGUACAAGCUGAUAGAGAGAGAGAACUGCUAGUUCAAGUGAUGCUAAAUCUGAAAAUUAGCAAGUUGCUAAUUCUGUUUUUCCACCUAAAAAAGAUAAGCUUGCACCUAUUUCUAAGGCCGAGGAAAUUAAAUUGA